Molecule: ribosomal RNA, 440 nt
Filed under: uncultured bacterium
Lineage: Bacteria
Description: partial 16S ribosomal RNA
Rfam family: Bacterial small subunit ribosomal RNA
Source: RNAcentral
CCUACGGGAGGCAGCAGUGGGGAAUAUUGCACAAUGGGGGAAACCCUGAUGCAGCGACGCCGCGUGAGUGAAGAAGUAUUUCGGUAUGUAAAGCUCUAUCAGCAGGGAAGAAAAUGACGGUAUCUGCUUAAGAAGACCCGGCUCACUACGCGCCCCCAGCCGCGGUAAUACGUAGGGGUCACGCGUUAUCUGGAUUUACUGGGUGUAAAGGGGGCGUAGACGGCAGCACAAGUCUGGAGUGAAAUGCCGGGGCUUAACCCCGGAACUGCUUUGGAAACUGUGCAGUUAGAGUGCAGGAGAGGUAAGUGGAAUUCCGAGUGUAGCGGUGAAAUGCGUAGAUAUUAGGAGGAACACCAGUGGCGAAGGCGGCUUACUGGACUGUAACUGACGUUGAGGCUCGAAAGCGUGGGGAGCAAACAGGAUUAGAUACCCGAGUAGUC